This 393-nucleotide ribosomal RNA is filed under the name uncultured bacterium. Its description in RNAcentral is "partial 16S ribosomal RNA". It matches the Rfam family "Bacterial small subunit ribosomal RNA", at positions 523 to 918 of the family's 1533-position model. The record is from RNAcentral.
AUACGGAGGGUCCAAGCGUUAUCCGGAUUUAUUGGGUUUAAAGGGUGCGUAGGCGGUUUUGUAAGUUAGAGGUGAAAUCCCAAGGCUCAACCUUGGAACUGCCUCUAAAACUACGGAACUAGAAAAUGGUUGCUGUGGGCGGAAUGUGUAGUGUAGCGGUGAAAUGCUUAGAGAUUACACAGAACACCGAUUGCGAAGGCAGCUCAAAAAGCAAAUUUUGAAGCUGAGGCACGAAAGCUUGGGGAGCAAACAGGAUUAGAUCCCCUGGUAGUCCACGCCGUAAACGAUGAUAACUCGCUGCCGGCGAUAUAGUGUCGGUGGCUUAGCGAAAGCGUUAAGUUAUCCACCUGGGGAGUACGUUCGCAAGAAUGAAACUCAAAGGAAUUGACGGGG